GAUGAAGAACGUAGCGAAAUGCGAUAAGUAAUGUGAAUUGCAGAAUUCAGUGAAUCAUCGAAUCUUUGAACGCACCUUGCGCCCUUUGGCCAUUCCGAAGGGCAUGCCUGUUUGAGUAUCAUGAACACCUCAACUCUUCAUGGUUUUCCGUGAUGAGCUUGGACUUUGGGGGUCUUGCUGGCCUAUGGUCAGCUCCUCUAAAAUAAAUCAGCUUGCCAGUGUUUGGUGGGUAUCACAGGUGUGAUAACUAUCUACGCUUGUGGUUUUCCACCAGGUAACCUUCAGCAGUGGAGGUUCGCUGGAGCUCACAGAUGUGUCUCUCCUCAGUGAGGACAGCUCUUUGAAUGUUUGAUCUCAAAUCAGGAAGGACUACCCGCUGAACUUAAGCAUAUCAAUAAGCGGAGGA
This 406-nucleotide unclassified non-coding RNA is filed under the name soil metagenome. Its description in RNAcentral is "partial contains 5.8S ribosomal RNA, internal transcribed spacer 2, and large subunit ribosomal RNA". The stretch from base 1 to 121 matches the Rfam family "5.8S ribosomal RNA", at positions 35 to 154 of the family's 154-position model. The record is from RNAcentral.